Molecule: ribosomal RNA, 465 nt
Filed under: uncultured bacterium
Lineage: Bacteria
Description: bacterial SSU rRNA
Rfam family: Bacterial small subunit ribosomal RNA
Source: RNAcentral
CAAGCGGUGGAGCAUAUGGUUUAAUUCGAUGCAACGCGAAGAACCUUACCUACUCUUGACAUCCAGCGAACUUAGCAGAGAUGCUUUGGUGCCUUCGGGAACGCUGAGACAGGUGCUGCAUGGCUGUCGUCAGCUCGUGUUGUGAAAUGUUGGGUUAAGUCCCGCAACGAGCGCAACCCUUAUCCUUUGUUGCCAGCGAUACGGUCGGGGACUCAAAGGAGACUGCCGGUGAUAAACCGGAGGAAGGUGGGGAUGACGUCAAGUCAUCAUGGCCCUUACGAGUAGGGCUACACACGUGCUACAAUGGCGCAUACAAAGAGAAGCGACCUCGCGAGAGCAAGCGGACCUCAGAAAGUGCGUCGUAGUCCGGAUCGGAGUCUGCAACUCGACUCCGUGAAGUCGGAAUCGCUAGUAAUCGUGGAUCAGAAUGCCACGGUGAAUACGUUCCCGGGCCUUGUACACACC